This 515-nucleotide ribosomal RNA is filed under the name uncultured bacterium. RNAcentral describes it as "bacterial SSU rRNA". It matches the Rfam family "Bacterial small subunit ribosomal RNA", at positions 28 to 524 of the family's 1533-position model. The record is from RNAcentral.
GACGAACGCUGGCGGCGUGCCUAAUACAUGCAAGUCGAGCGGAGAGGACAGAAGCUUGCUUCUGUUUCUCUCAGCGGCGGACGGGUGAGUAACACGUGGGCAACCUGCCCUGCAGAUCGGGAUAACUCCGGGAAACCGGUGCUAAUACCGGAUAGUUUGUUUCACCUCCUGGUGAAACACGGAAAGGCGGUUUCGGCUGCCACUGCAGGAUGGGCCCGCGGCGCAUUAGCUAGUUGGUGGGGUAACGGCUCACCAAGGCGACGAUGCGUAGCCGACCUGAGAGGGUGAUCGGCCACACUGGGACUGAGACACGGCCCAGACUCCUACGGGAGGCAGCAGUAGGGAAUCUUCCGCAAUGGACGAAAGUCUGACGGAGCAACGCCGCGUGAGUGAUGAAGGUUUUCGGAUCGUAAAACUCUGUUGUGAGGGAAGAACAAGUGCCACGUAACUACUGGCACCUUGACGGUACCUCACCAGAAAGCCACGGCUAACUACGUGCCAGCCGCCGCCGUAAA